GCAUUGCGGCGUGCUAUAAUGCAGUCGAGCGAACAGAUAAGGAGCUUGCUCCUUUGACGUUAGCGGCGGACGGGUGAGUAACACGUGGGUAACCUACCUAUAAGACUGGGAUAACUUCGGGAAACCGGAGCUAAUACCGGAUAACAUUUGGAACCGCAUGGUUCUAAAGUGAAAGAUGGUUUUGCUAUCACUUAUAGAUGGACCCGCGCCGUAUUAGCUAGUUGGUAAGGUAACGGCUUACCAAGGCAACGAUACGUAGCCGACCUGAGAGGGUGAUCGGCCACACUGGAACUGAGACACGGUCCAGACUCCUACGGGAGGCAGCAGUAGGGAAUCUUCCGCAAUGGGCGAAAGCCUGACGGAGCAACGCCGCGUGAGUGAUGAAGGGUUUCGGCUCGUAAAACUCUGUUAUUAGGGAAGAACAAAUGUGUAAGUAACUGUGCACAUCUUGACGGUACCUAAUCAGAAAGCCACGGCUAACUACGUGCCAGCAGCCGCGGUAAUACGUAGGUGGCAAGCGUUAUCCGGAAUUAUUGGGCGUAAAGCGCGCGUAGGCGGUUUCUUAAGUCUGAUGUGAAAGCCCACGGCUCAACCGUGGAGGGUCAUUGGAAACUGGGAAACUUGAGUGCAGAAGAGGAAAGUGGAAUUCCAUGUGUAGCGGUGAAAUGCGCAGAGAUAUGGAGGAACACCAGUGGCGAAGGCGACUUUCUGGUCUGUAACUGACGCUGAUGUGCGAAAGCGUGGGGAUCAAACAGGAUUAGAUACCCUGGUAGUCCACGCCGUAAACGAUGAGUGCUAAGUGUUAGGGGGUUUCCGCCCCUUAGUGCUGCAGCUAACGCAUUAAGCACUCCGCCUGGGGAGUACGACCGCAAGGUUGAAACUCAAAGGAAUUGACGGGGACCCGCACAAGCGGUGGAGCAUGUGGUUUAAUUCGAAGCAACGCGAAGAACCUUACCAAAUCUUGACAUCCUUUGAAAACUCUAGAGAUAGAGCCUUCCCCUUCGGGGGACAAAGUGACAGGUGGUGCAUGGUUGUCGUCAGCUCGUGUCGUGAGAUGUUGGGUUAAGUCCCGCAACGAGCGCAACCCUUAAGCUUAGUUGCCAUCAUUAAGUUGGGCACUCUAGGUUGACUGCCGGUGACAAACCGGAGGAAGGUGGGGAUGACGUCAAAUCAUCAUGCCCCUUAUGAUUUGGGCUACACACGUGCUACAAUGGACAAUACAAAGGGCAGCUAAACCGCGAGGUCAUGCAAAUCCCAUAAAGUUGUUCUCAGUUCGGAUUGUAGUCUGCAACUCGACUACAUGAAGCUGGAAUCGCUAGUAAUCGUAGAUCAGCAUGCUACGGUGAAUACGUUCCCGGGUCUUGUACACACCGCCCGUCACACCACGAGAGUUUGUAACACCCGAAGCCGGUGGAGUAACCAUUUAUGAGCUAGCAGUCGAAUGG
RNAcentral lists this ribosomal RNA (1445 nucleotides) under Staphylococcus sp. Its description in RNAcentral is "bacterial SSU rRNA". It matches the Rfam family "Bacterial small subunit ribosomal RNA". The record is from RNAcentral. Lineage: Bacteria; Bacillati; Bacillota; Bacilli; Caryophanales; Staphylococcaceae. RNAcentral also lists the same sequence under 1 other name.